AUGGCAUAUGCAGGAACAGAAGCCUUCUCAGUGAUCCAGGACAACAUCAGGACGUGUGCGGUCCAGGGUUUUAGUGUUCCUAGCAAUAUGAUUUCCAGCUUGGUCUUGAAAUCGUCUGACCUGCAGUUUCCCUCCAGUCUCACUCCUCAGAGAGUCUCUGAGCUUGGCCCUUUUCUGCCCCUGCUGGGAUCCAGUGUCCUGCAGCAGCUGACCUCAGCCCAGCUCAUGCCUGCCCUCAGCACCCUCGCCUCUGUGCCUUUUACCCCUGCACAGGUACUGUGCGCACCAUUUUUGCCACACAUGCAUACUUUUGCAACACAAGGCAAAUAAUUUAACAAAAUCUGCAGGCCACAAAUAUUUCUUACCAGUCACGAUUCUAUUUUGCAUUAUUUAUUUUUUUAAAAUGUUUAUAUGUUCUUAUGACAGUGAGUUUUUCCCCCUACGUAUUUAUGACACAGCACAGACAGUCAUUGUGUCAUGGCAAGUCAUAGGCAAGGCAAUUUAUUUAAAUAGCACUUUAUUUCAUACACAGUGGUAAUACAAAGUGUUUCCCAAAAAAAAGAAUAUUUGAAAAAGAUAUAGUUACAUAAAGGUUAAAAGAAAUAACAAUAAAAAUCUGAAAAGUUGAAGAAAGAAGUAAAAA
Molecule: long non-coding RNA, 643 nt
Organism: Cyprinus carpio (common carp)
Lineage: Eukaryota; Metazoa; Chordata; Actinopteri; Cypriniformes; Cyprinidae
Source: Ensembl